AUUGAACGCUGGCGGCAGGCCUAACGCAUGCAAGUCGAGCGGCAGCGGGAAAGUAGCUUGCUACUUUUGCCGGCGAGCGGCGGACGGGUGAGUAAUACAUCGGAACAUGUCCUGUAGUGGGGGAUAGCCCGGCGAAAGCCGGAUUAUUACCGCAUACGAUCUACGGAUGAAAGCGGGGGACCUUCGGGCCUCGCGCUAUAGGGUUGGCCGAUGGCUGAUUAGCUAGUUGGUGGGGUAAAGGCCUACCAAGGCGACGAUCAGUAGCUGGUCUGAGAGGACGACCAGCCACACUGGGACUGAGACACGGCCCAGACUCCUACGGGAGGCAGCAGUGGGGAAUUUUGGACAAUGGGCGAAAGCCUGAUCCAGCAAUGCCGCGUGUGUGAAGAAGGCCUUCGGGUUGUAAAGCACUUUUGUCCGGAAAGAAAUCCUUGGCUCUAAUACAGUCGGGGGAUGACGGUACCGGAAGAAUAAGCACCGGCUAACUACGUGCCAGCCGCCGCAGUAAAAC
This 511-nucleotide ribosomal RNA is filed under the name uncultured bacterium. RNAcentral's name for it is "bacterial SSU rRNA". It matches the Rfam family "Bacterial small subunit ribosomal RNA", at positions 30 to 526 of the family's 1533-position model. The record is from RNAcentral.